RNAcentral lists this ribosomal RNA (329 nucleotides) under uncultured eukaryote. RNAcentral describes it as "partial 18S ribosomal RNA". It matches the Rfam family "Eukaryotic small subunit ribosomal RNA", at positions 1470 to 1796 of the family's 1831-position model. The record is from RNAcentral.
CCCUUAGAUGUUCUGGGCCGCACGCGCGCUACACUGACGGAGGCAGCGAGCGUGUCCUUCGCCGGCGGGUGCGGGCAAUCUUGCGAGUCUCCGUCGUGCUGGGGAUAGAUGGUUGCAAUUGUCGAUCUUGAACGAGGAAUUCCUAGUAAGCGCGAGUCAUCAGCUCGCGCUGAUUACGUCCCUGCCCUUUGUACACACCGCCCGUCGCUACUACAGAGUGCCCGUGUCCAAGAAACGGUCGGACCUGUGCGGCCUCUCCGGGCGACCGGAGGGCCGUUACGGGGAAGACCCUUUAUUUGACGCGGGUCGAUGAAGUAAAAGUCGUAACA